AACGAACGCUGGCGGCGUGCCUAACACAUGCAAGUCGUGCGAGAAAGUUCCUUCGGGAGCGAGUAAAGCGGCGCACGGGUGAGUAACACGUAGGUAACCUGCCCCCCAGUCUGGAACAACUAGAGGAAACUCUAGCUAAUGCCGGAUGAGACCACGAUCCCUUCGGGGGUUGCGGCCAAAGAUGGCCUCUACUUGUAAGCUAUCGCUGAGGGAUGGGCCUGCGGGCCAUUAGCUUGUUGGUGAGGUAACGGCUCACCAAGGCUGUGAUGGCUAGCUGGUCUGAGAGGAUGACCAGCCACACUGGGACUGAGACACGGCCCAGACUCCUACGGGAGGCAGCAGUGGGGAAUAUUGCGCAAUGGGCGUAAGCCUGACGCAGCGACGCCGCGUGGGUGAUGAAGGCC
Molecule: ribosomal RNA, 404 nt
Filed under: uncultured bacterium
Lineage: Bacteria
Description: bacterial SSU rRNA
Rfam family: Bacterial small subunit ribosomal RNA
Source: RNAcentral